RNA transcript from Lytechinus pictus (painted urchin), 4885 nucleotides. It is a transcript of the gene named kinesin-2b-like, with no coding region annotated. Lineage: Eukaryota; Metazoa; Echinodermata; Echinoidea; Temnopleuroida; Toxopneustidae. The record is from RefSeq and is a predicted model, not a curated record. The transcript has 21 exons.
CUGAUCAAAUCCCAGAUCGAAUGACGUCAGAGUUGCUUGGUUUCUGACAACAGUUUAUCGAGGAUCCGGAAAAAAGGAGUAAAUCUUCAUCAAAUUCUUGUAUAGUCACGCAACAUGCCUGACUCAAAGGCUGCAGAGAAGGUAGCGGUGAAAGUGGUGGCACGAUGUCGACCUUUCACAGAUAUCGAGAAAGAGAAAGGUGCUUCAAGAAUUGUCAAGAUGUCUGGAGACAAGACUACAUUGCAGAAUCCACAACAGGGCGGCACUGGAAAGGAAGCUGUAUUUGCUUUUGAUGCCAGCUACUUCUGGGAUACAAGAACAAGUUUGGUAUACAAAGAGCAAUGUGAACCCUUAUUGAAGAGAGCAAUGGAGGGCUAUAACGUCACUAUCAUUGCGUUUGGACCUACAAACAGCGGCAAGACCCAUCUCAUGUCUGGGCCUAUGGAGGAUCCAGGUCUUGUUCCAAUGAUCAACCGAAGUCUCUUCAAGCAGAUCAAAACCUCAAAGAAGCAGUUCCUUGUGACAGCAUCAUUUCUGGAGGUGAUGGAUGAAAGUAUGACUGAUUUACUCAACCCCCACACCGACGACAUGCAGAUCAGACAACACCCUCAGAUUGGAAUAUUUGUUGAUGGUCUAUCGGAGCUUGUAGUGAAGAGCGGUGAAGACUUGUCCAGGUACUAUGACCAGGGAAGCAGAGCUAGGAAGAUGGGCGCUGCUGAUAUCAAGGCGCACAGAGCAAGGGCUCAUGGUAUUUUCUCGAUCGGUAUCGAGCAGAAAGAUGCAGAUGGUGGUCGUGGUCUUAGGAGUAAGAUCGUCCUAGCUGAUCUGGCUGGUUCAGAAAGCGUUCAGAGUAAAGACAAAGGACUUGGUGCCUUGGGGGAUGUGAUCAGCGCCCUCGGCGAUCCUCGGAAGAAAGGGGGCCAUGUUCCUUACAGGGAUUCAAAGGUUACACGUUUACUGCAGGACGCCCUUGGUGGGAAUGCCCACACGCUGAUGUUCACGACCAUCUCCCCGUCCGAUACGUGCUACAACGAGACCCUGACCACCCUACAGUACGGGCAGUACUGCAAGAACAUCAUCAAUCACCCAGCAAUAAAUGUGGAUGAUAGUGAACGACUGACCAAUCAACUUCGCGAGGAGAUUUCUCGUCUGCGGGAAAAGCUGACCGGUACUUCACUGACCGAAGCGGGAAGCAAAGAAGAUGUGGCCAAACUGCAGGAUUUGAUAAAGGAUCUUCAGAUUGCAAAGCGUCAAGGAUGGGAGGAGAAGGAGAGACAAUCAACUCAGUAUGAAGAGGAGAGGAGAGAGAACCUCGCUAAGAAGGGUAUUCUGCAGUGGGUAAUGGCGGAGAGCGUUCAUAGAGACAACAGAGAGAUGCAGGAAAGGAUCUUACUCAUGCAGAAAGAAAAAGAUCAGUUGCAACAUGAAUACAAGGACAAACGAUCAUUAGUGGAUAGGCUGAAAGAGGAUCUCCAAGCUAAGAUUGUAGAUUACACCAAUAUGGCCGAAAGUGGUAAGGGAAGUGAGUCAGAGACAAAGGCAAGGGUGAAUGCCAUCCACGAGGUGAAAGAAAUGAUCAAGAAAGAAAGCGAGAAUCUGAAAGACGUCAAACAUAGACUCAAAGAACUUCAAGAAAGACAGAAGAGGGAGAAAGAGGAUAUGAGAAGCCAGCAUGCUGAUCUCCACCACAACUCAGAGCUGCGUCGCCUGGCCCGGGCUGAGGAGCGCAAGCGGAUGGAGGCGGAACAUGCCCUCUCGCUGGAGGAAGAACUUGAGAGAAUGCGCAUGGAGGUCGAUCACCAGAAGGCUGAGAUUCAGUUAAGAUCAGCCAACGGAGGAACAGGGUACAGCCAGGAACAGGCCAUGCAGAUAGAGAUGAGUCUGGUGAAGGAGAGAGAGGAGCGUCGGGUGGUGACCAUGCAGCUCCAGGCCAUGGACGCGGAGAAGGCCCUCCUCAUCGCAGAACUCGACGAGGCUUAUCUCAAACACAAGGAGGAGAUGGAGAUUCAACAGCUUCAGCAUUUCCAGACAUUUCGUAACUACCGGGAGGCCUUUGAGGAGCAGAAGAUGGCUCUAGAGCAGCGAUACCGGACCCUGUUAGAGGAUGCCAUCCAGGAUGCUGUCUUUCUCUCCGCAAGGAACUCUGAACUGGAGCAAGAGAAUCAAGCUAUCAAACAAGAUGUUGCCGAGUUGAAAGACAAGGUGUCCAUGCUGGGAGGAAGUUCAAGAAGCAGGCCGUCGUCAGCAGCAAGCUUACGCUAGAUCCCCAUUCCAUGGGAGCGACCAACGUCCACAAACACAGAGGGCAGAAAAUGGAAAGAGACGGGGAACAAAAUUUUCGGGGGCUCGGAGUGAUUCCCGCCAUGAAAUGCUCAAAAGAGCCCUUAAAGGACAAGUCCACCCCAACAAAAAGUUGAUUUGAAUAAAAAGAACAAAUCCAACAAGCAGAACUCUGAAAAUUUCAUCAAAAUCGGAUGUAAAAUAAGAAAGUUAUGACAUUUUAAAGUUUUUGCUUAAUUUCACACAACAGUUAUAUGCACAUCCUGGUUGGUAUGCAAAUGAGGAGACUGAUGACAUCAUCCACUCACUAUUUCUUUUGUAUUUUAUUAUAUGAAAUGGGAAAUAUUCUAUUUUUCUUCUCAUUGUCAAGUGAAACAACGAUUAAUUCCUCCCUGAACAUGUGAAAUUAGCAUCGUUUAAUACUAUAUGAUUCAGUCAAGUUGGUCCUUUUUUUCAAAUCUAUAAAAAAUGAAAUAUCGUAUAAUUCAAACAAUAAAAAACAAAAGAAAAAGUGAGGGACAUCAUCGACUGUCUCAAAUCACUGUUUUGUGAAAAAAUAAGCAAAACUUUAAAAUGUCAUAACUUUCUUAUAUUACAUCUGAUUUUGAUGAAAUUUUCUGUGUAAUGCUUGUUGGAUUUUUCUCUUUUUAUUCGAAUCAACUUUUUGUUGGGGUGGACUUGUCCUUUAAAAAUUGACCUAUCAUAAAAAUAUAUUCUUUCAACACCUGCAUAGUAAUGCAGCCUCACAUUUAAAUGAAACUCGGAAUUAAGCCCCUAUUUGCUCCUAGUUCUUUUAACUUCUCUCUCUGAAGUUUUUCACACUGAAUUAAAGGAGAAUGAAAUCCUUGAAACCAGCUGAAUCCAUAUCAAAGAGAAAAAUCAAAGGAACACAUUGUUGAAAGUUUGAGGAAGAUUGAAUGAAUAAUAAGAAAGUUAUGAGCAUUUGAAUAUUGAGAUCACUAGAUCUCCAUAGCAUUAGUGAUCUCGACAUUCAAAUGCUCAUAACUCUUUUAUUGCUAGUCCUAUUUUACUCAAACUUUUGUUGAUCUUAUUUUUUGAUUUUUCUGCUUUCACAAAAGCUAACUUGCUCCAAGAGUUUCAUUCUCCUUUAAGUACAGGUAACUCUGCCUAAGUCAAAUCUAUUGGGAUUUCACUUAGCCAGAGAAGCAUCCACCAUGAACUUGAACUUGCCUUAUAACAACAAACUGAUGUGGGAAUCAUUUCACCAGUGGAGUAACAAAGGCCGGAAGAUUAAACCACCAAAAAUAUUUACGCUCAAACAGUAUGAAGAUCAGACAAUAAUACCUCGGUCACAUUUGCUCUACGGCGGCCGUACGGCGAGUCGAAAUUAGCCGUUUUAUCCAUUUUUAUUCAAACCACCUAUAUGUAGCUGGUACAAAAAUGUUAACACAGCUGUUUUCGAUUCGCCGUAGAGCAAAUGUGACCGAGGCAUAAAUAAUAUGGGGCAUUUAUAUAGUCGUAAUACAAAAUGUCUUGAAGCACUGCAUCGAGAAUUCAAGGAAUUCCUUCCUACCGGGUACCCUUCACUCCCAAAAGUGAGUUGAUUAUUGCUUAUGUCCACAGUUGCAAAUGUUUAUGAAUGAUAUCUACUUUGCAUUUCUGCAAAAUCUUAUAAUGCAAGUAUUAUUUCACUGUUUUCUCUGUGGAGCAAUUUUGUUCAUGGAAAAAAAAGGUUUUUCAAGCAUUUGACAAGUUGCAGACUUUUUCACGUACACAUACACUUCAUAGAAUAUUGUUCGAUUUUAUAGUGAAUGUAUUUUGAGAGGGAUAUAUCAGAUAGAUUUAUAUGGAUUAUUAAUACAGAUUCAGCCUUUCUAGAUGUGAUUUUAUUUAUUGCACUUAUCAAGAAAGGCUAUAUUGACAGAAUUGUGAGUGUGCUCCAAAUAUUCUGAGAAUUCACCAAGUGAUAUUAACGUUCAAUGAUUUAUGCAAGAAUUAAUACCACCACCUUGAUCAGCAAAUCCUAAUAUCUCAUCGCAAUUCCGUCCUAUUUAUGAUUGUACAAAACUUGAAUUAUGCGCUGCUAUUUUUAUGAAUAUUGUUAUCAUAUAUUUUCUGGAAAUAGAAAUAUGUAAAUAUUUUCUUAAAUUUUGCUCUAUUUGCUGUGAGUUUCUUUUUUACAAAAAAAAAAUCAAUCUUGAAUUGAAUAUUUAUUAUCUGUAUAUUUGUAAGAGUGAUUUAAAAAAAAUAUUUUGUUAUAUACUUGUAGGCAAAUCAUAUUUCAUUGAUUGAUGUAAAAAUUUAAACUGGUAUGUCAAAUAGAUUUCAUUUUCUAGUUGAUGCAUUACUGUAAAGUAAUUAUGACCUAAUUGACCAACUCAAGUAUAUCAAGAUUUUUUUCUCACUUUAUGUAUUGUGGAGAAGAGUAAUACCAUUAUUUGUCACCCCUCCCCACUGUAUCAAUCUUUGAAGAAUGAUUAGAUGAGCAACAUGAUGAAUAAUUGAUAAACAACAUGAUGAAUAAUUGACAUAUAUUUUGUUUGUCUUACAGUAAUCAUGGUUAGAAACAUAAUAUCAAAUGUAAUUUCUUAGAGUAUAUGUAUGUAGUUCUAUUGUCUUUUUAUAUUAAAUUUAUUUAAUAUCA